GGAUGUGAGGGCGAUCUGGCUGCAACAUCUGUCACCCCACUGAUCGCCAGGGUUGAUUUGGCUGAUCUGGCUGGCUAGCUGGGUGUCUCCUUCCUCCCUCACUGCUCCAUGUGCGUCCCUUCCAAAGCUGCGUGCUCCGUCAAAGAGGACGGCCUUGCCCGAAUAGAGACGGACUAGUCUUCAGUCCAGGGUAUAAGAGUAGCUGCACUCCCCUGCUAGAACCUCCAAACGAGCUCUCAAGAAUUACUUUGUUUCCAGUUUUUAUUAUUAUGAAUAAUGCUGCUGUAUACACACACACACACACACACACACACACACACAGAUACUUUAUCUCAAAUUAAAUUUUGGU
This is a non-coding RNA of Erinaceus europaeus (western European hedgehog), 349 nucleotides long. NCBI's taxonomy places the organism in Eukaryota, Metazoa, Chordata, Mammalia, Eulipotyphla, Erinaceidae. The record is from Rfam.